Molecule: ribosomal RNA, 311 nt
Filed under: uncultured eukaryote
Lineage: Eukaryota
Description: partial 18S ribosomal RNA
Rfam family: Eukaryotic small subunit ribosomal RNA
Source: RNAcentral
CCCCUAGACGUUCUGGGCUGCACGCGCGCUACAAUAAUACGCACAGCGAGUAUCACCGAGCUCGAAAGGGCAAGGUAAACAAUAGAAAAGGUACUGUAAUGGUUAUAGAUCCUUGUAAUUAUUGAUCUUCAACGAGGAAUUCCUAGUAAGUAUGUGUCAUCAUCACGCACUGAUUACGUCCCUGCCCUUUGUACACACCGCCCGUCGCUCCUACCGAUUGAGUGAGCCGAUGAAACUGCCGGAUGUGGACUAUUCAUAGUCUGCAGAAGAUAUUUGAAUCGUAGCGCUGAGAGGAAGGAGAAGUCGUAACA